AUUUUAGCGAUGAAUGCCUC
Molecule: ribosomal RNA, 20 nt
Filed under: Hematodinium sp. ex Chionoecetes bairdi
Lineage: Eukaryota; Dinophyceae; Syndiniales; Syndiniaceae
Description: partial 5.8S ribosomal RNA
Source: RNAcentral